Molecule: long non-coding RNA, 323 nt
Organism: Acyrthosiphon pisum (pea aphid)
Lineage: Eukaryota; Metazoa; Arthropoda; Insecta; Hemiptera; Aphididae
Exons: 3
Source: RefSeq, a predicted model, not a curated record
UCAAUUUGUGUUUGUGACAAAUUUUACAACUAAUCAAAUAAUAUGUGUUGUAACGAUCAAAAUCAAACCGUCGUUAAUCACAUUCACAGUUUACGUUUAUUAAAGUUAUAUAAAUUAUUUCUUUACGUUUCAAUAAAUUAUUCACAGAAGUCAUACAGAAGAUCACGCUGCCAUACAAUAUGAUUCCAAACAUAAAGUUAAAAUUCAAGUUAAAUAAACAGUUUAAUUUUUAACCAAUUUGUGUUUGUAUCAAUUAAUUUUUCAACUACUAUCUAUUCAACGUAAACGUACAAUUUAAGAUGUGUACAGUAAUCAACCUACUA